RNAcentral lists this unclassified non-coding RNA (181 nucleotides) under soil metagenome. Its description in RNAcentral is "partial contains small subunit ribosomal RNA, internal transcribed spacer 1, and 5.8S ribosomal RNA". The record is from RNAcentral.
UUUCCGUAGGUGAACCUGCGGAAGGAUCAUUACAAAUCUGGGUGGAUCUGGCUGGGGGUUGGUGGAAAGUGAAAACUGUCCACUGCCAACAAUCAUUGUCCACUAUAUUUACGCUUGUUGUGUUUGACAAAUCAAGUAAACUAUAAAUUGACAACUUUUAACAACGGAUCUCUGGGCUCUU